CAUUCCGAUUGCACAAUAAGCUAUUUUUUCAAAGAUUUGCUUAAAAUUUUACUUGUUUAAUUUCAAACAACACACGUGACACACGUGACUAAACCUGAUUGGUUGUUGUCAUAGUAACACGUCACGGUGCUAUUUGAAACUUGUUCAGUUUAGUUCAGUUGUUCACGGUGCAUGCGGUUGCUUGCAUUAAACGUAUAAACUGUUAAAUUAGAUGGCGACUCUGCAUUAAACGUAUUUAUUUAAUUAAUCGGCGAUCAUAUUUCACCAGAGGACUAAGAUAAAACAACUCGAUUUAAAAUAUGAGCAGUUUUAGUGGAUCUGACGUUGAGGGAAAAAGUAUUUCGCUUUUUGUUUGGAGAUGAACGAGACAACACGAGGCACAGCGACAUAAAUAUGACCAACCAGAUCCCAAGUAGACAGGAACAAAUGAAGAUAUAGCGCAUAGAAAGACUUAUUCUUGGUGAUCAACUGCUAUUGACAUUUUUGAAUCGGGGCAAAUGUGGAGUGAAGAAAAACGUUUGCAACACAUCCAUUCCAGAGUGCUCUGACAGAUAAAACUGACACGCUUGAUGAGGACACAGUCAAAGCUUUAAAAGCCCGUGUGAUAAAGCAGUCUUCAAUUACUACGGUGUCUGAAUUGCAAGAAGAAGUCACCCUCCACUUAAACAUGUGACAUCUAAACUGUUUUGUGUUUUAGUUCAGCUUUUUAUAGGUUUAUCUUAAGUUGGUUAAAGGCAGAGUGCAUUUU
Paramisgurnus dabryanus is the source of this 748-nucleotide long non-coding RNA. RefSeq lists it as uncharacterized. The record is from RefSeq and is a predicted model, not a curated record. Lineage: Eukaryota; Metazoa; Chordata; Actinopteri; Cypriniformes; Cobitidae.